AUUGAACGCUGGCGGUAUGCUUAACACAUGCAAGUCGAACGGCAGCAUGGUCUAGCUUGCUAGACUGAUGGCGAGUGGCGGACGGGUGAGUAACGCGUAGGAAUAUGCCUUGAAGAGUGGGACAACUUGGGGAAACUCAAGCUAAUACCGCAUGUACUCGAGAGAGUAAAGCUGGGGACCUUUAGGCCUGGCGCUUUAAGAUUAGCCUGCGUCCGAUUAGCUAGUUGGUAGGGUAAAGGCCUACCAAGGCGACGAUCGGUAGCUGGUCUGAGAGGAUGAUCAGCGACACUGGAACUGAGAGACGGUCCAGACUCCUACGGGAGGCAGCAGUGGGGAAUAUUGGACAAUGGGGGGAACCCUGAUCCAGCAAUGCCGCGUGUGUGAAGAAGGCCUGAGGGUUGUAAAGCACUUUCAGUGGGGAGGAGGUUUGGAAGGUUAAGAGCUAUUCAAAUGGACGUUACCCACAGAAGAAGCACCGGCUAACUCCGUGCCAGCAGCCGCAGUAA
This 506-nucleotide ribosomal RNA is filed under the name uncultured bacterium. RNAcentral's name for it is "partial 16S ribosomal RNA". It matches the Rfam family "Bacterial small subunit ribosomal RNA", at positions 30 to 523 of the family's 1533-position model. The record is from RNAcentral.